CUCUCCUUAGCUCAGCUGGAAGAGCAACUGACUGUAGAUCAAAAGCGAUCUGAAUAGCACACGAGUCACAUCGUGGAACACACACGGAGGUAUCAGUGGGUCACCCGUUCGAUUCGGGUAGGGGAGA
Molecule: transfer RNA, 127 nt
Filed under: Ostreococcus tauri
Lineage: Eukaryota; Viridiplantae; Chlorophyta; Mamiellophyceae; Mamiellales; Bathycoccaceae
Rfam family: tRNA
About the family: Transfer RNA (tRNA) molecules are approximately 80 nucleotides in length. Their secondary structure includes four short double-helical elements and three loops (D, anti-codon, and T loops).
Source: Rfam by way of RNAcentral